This 494-nucleotide ribosomal RNA is filed under the name uncultured bacterium. RNAcentral describes it as "bacterial SSU rRNA". It matches the Rfam family "Bacterial small subunit ribosomal RNA", at positions 29 to 518 of the family's 1533-position model. The record is from RNAcentral.
AUGAACGCUAGCGACAGGCCUAACACAUGCAAGUCGAGGGCAGCACAAGGAGCAAUCUGAGGUGGCGACCGGCGCACGGGUGAGUAACACGUAUGCAACCUGCCUGUAAGCGGGGAAUAACCCGUUGAAAGACGGACUAAUACCGCAUAAUACUAAAUUACUGCAUGGUAAUUUAUUUAAACAUUUAUGGCUUACAGAUGGGCAUGCGCAUGAUUAGCUAGUUGGAGAGGUAACGGCUCCCCAAGGCAACGAUCAUUAGGGGUUCUGAGAGGAAGGUCCCCCACACUGGUACUGAGACACGGACCAGACUCCUACGGGAGGCAGCAGUGAGGAAUAUUGGUCAAUGGACGAGAGUCUGAACCAGCCAAGUCGCGUGCAGGAAGAAUUGUCCUAUGGAUUGUAAACUGCUUUUGCAGGGGAAUAAAGUGCAUCACGUGUGAUGUUUUGUAUGUACUCUGCGAAUAAGGAUCGGCUAACUCCGUGCCAGCCGCCGC